This 2854-nucleotide long non-coding RNA is filed under the name Arabidopsis lyrata. Its description in RNAcentral is "long non-coding RNA (ALYR_LNC000772)". The record is from RNAcentral. Lineage: Eukaryota; Viridiplantae; Streptophyta; Magnoliopsida; Brassicales; Brassicaceae.
UAAAUUAAUACGUCACUUGCCCCUUAAGACUUUGUUGUGUCAAUCUUAUCAUCAGCCCUUAUGGUUUGUAUUGAAAAACGUAUUGGUUUAGUCAUGGGAUAACAUCGAUCAUAAUGUAAGAUGAAAAAAAUCUCAUAGAGAUUGUGGAGCCCAGCACUCUAUUAUUAGCCAGGCCCCAGAGAAGUCAAGAUACUUGCGUUGCAACUGGAUAUUCUGUAGAAAUCACAUCAUAAAUCUGGGCCAUACUGAUUUUGACGCAGGACUCUAUUUACUCUUAUCCUAUGUUUAGGAAGUUUCAAAUUAUAAACUCAUUGAUUGAAGUUUCAUAUAGAGAAGAACUGAUAAUCUUCAUUGUAUGUUCAGGUGAGAGCUUUCGAGAGGCACUGUGGAUCGCUGUCUCAGUACGGUAUCAAGCACAUGAGGUCCUUUGCAAACAUUUGCAACGCAGGGAUCCGAACUGAGCAAAUGGAGGAGGCAGCUUCACAGGCUUGUACCUCAAUCCCACCUGGUCCUUGGAGCUCGCUUCACCGUGGAUUCAGUGCAUAGAAACCCUAAACCCUCUUCGCAUUUGUUUAUACUACCAAAUCCCCAAAUAUUCCUAUUUCCAUUUGUAAUGAUUAAAUCAUUAUUCUCCCUGUAUAUCUCACUAUCAUUUCCCCGCUGCAGUGUAUAAUAUGUAUUUGCUAUGUACAAAUGCUUGUAGAAACUAAAGUUGAAUGUAUAUUACAUGUAAAUUUGGGAGUUGUCAAUCUUAUGGAUGGUUCUUUUUUUAUAGCAGAAACAGCAGAAGAAGAUAGUAAAAGAGAAUUUUAUUAGAACUUGAGAAAUGAUCAUCUCAUGGUUUUUACAUUAUCAUUACUGGGCAUUCUCCCAUCUCAUCAUACUCUGUGAAUUCCUCCCCGCUGGACAAAUCAAUAUCAUCAAAUUUGGUUGGUUUUCACGUAAUUGAAAAUUAACAUUUAAAUUUAAAUCUUCUUUUAAAUAAAUAUUUUUUACACUUCAAAAUUUUAGAUAAGCUCAAAAUAUUUUAUUUUAAAUACCGGAAACUAAAAUUGAAACGUUUUUAAUUAAAAAGAAAAUCUUAAAAUAAAUGUUAAAUUUUAAUUAUGUGUAAACAGAUUGAAACUUAACACCUUUAACCGACCUAAAGAGAUUCUAACCGGAUGUUAAGUUUGGUUGGUUUUCAACGUAAUUAAAAAAUUAACACUAAAAAUUUAAAUCUUCUUUUUAAAAAAUAUUUUUUAUACUUAAAAACUUAGUUAUAAAACCGGAAAUUAAAGUUGAAAACGCUUUUAAUUAAAAAAAAAUCUAAAAAGUAAAUGUUAAAUUUUAAUUACGUGUAAACAAGUUGAGCUUAACACCUCUAACCGACUUAAAGAGAUACUAACCGGAUGUUAAGUUCGGUUGGUUUCAACGUAAUUAAAAAAUUAACACUUAAAAUUUAAAUUUUCUUUUUAAAAAAUAUUUUUUAUACUUAAAAACUUAGUUAUAAAACCGGAAAUUAAAGUUGAAAACGCUUUUAAUUAAAAAAAAAAUCUAAAAAGUAAAUGUUAAAUUUUAAUUACGUGUAAACAAGUUGAGCUUAACACCUCUAACCGACCUAAAGAGAUACUAACCGGAUGUUAAGUUCGGUUGGUUUCAACGUAAUUAAAAAAUUAACACUUAAAAUUUAAAUUUUCUUUUUAAAAAAUAUUUUCUAUACUUAAAAACUUAGUUAUAAAACCGGAAAUUAAAGUUGAAAACGCUUUUAAUUAAAAAACAAAUCUAAAAAGUAAAUGUUAAAUUUUAAUUACGUGUAAACAAAUUGAGCUUAACACCUCUAACCGACCUAAAGAGAUACUAACCGGAUGUUAAGUUCGGUUGGUUUCAACGUAAUUAAAAAAUUAACACUUAAAAUUUAAAUUUUCUUUUUAAAACAUAUUUUUUAUACUUAAAAACUUAGUUAUAAAACCGGAUAGUAAAGUUGAAAACGUUUUUAAUUAGAAAAAUAUCUAAAAAGUAAAUGUUAAAAUUUUAAUUACGUGUAAACAUGUUGAACUUAACACCUCUAACCGACCUAAAGAGAUACUAACCGGAUGUUAAGUUCGGUUGGUUUUCAAUGUAAUUAAAAAAUUAACACUUAAAAUUUAAAUAUUUUUUUUAAAAAAUCUUUUUUAUACUUAAUAUUUUAAAUAAGUUCAAAAAUAUUUAUUUAAAAAAUUAUUUCCCAUAAAACCCUUAAAAUUUAGCUAAUGUAAAUUUUUAUUUACAAUCAUUAUUAAUAAAAUUAAAAAAAAAAAGAAAAAAAAAAAAAGAAGAGAAAAUUGAGAAAGCAACAAACCUGAAUACGGUGGUGACUCAUCCUCCGGCGACUCCGUCCAAGCAUCGAAACUCAAACCUGCCACAUGCUCUUCGCUUUCACUGUCCCUCUUUUCCCGCUUUCUUCCUCGCCGUCAGAUAUAACCCACAGGUGAAAGUGUUUCGGUGGAAUUAAGGAUUGACUAUAGAAGUAGUCACGUGAUAUCGAAUGCACAACAGAGUAUAGAGAUCAAUCUACGAAACGAGACGAUCAAUCUUACGGAUAGGUUCUGAUCAGAUGGGCAACGAUAUCCGUUGAGAUCGUCUUCUCAAGGAACAAACCAAGUUUUUCAGAUGAAUUUGUUGCAGAGAUUGGUUAUACAUGGAUCAUCGGUUUCACGAGAUUGGCGAUCAAACAUUGGCAAAGUUUGUUCGACACGUAUCAAAAAGAAAAAGAAGAAAGAUUAUUAAGGAGAAUGAAUGAUUUUGGUUUAUAAGAGAGACGAGUAUUUAUAAGGAAAGGUUCUUCAAAAAAACAAAGGAAAUUUUCGCUUGUUUCCUUUUUAUUUAAAGAGUU